GAAAUGCGAUAAGUAGUGUGAAUUGCAGAAUUCAGUGAAUCAUCGAAUCUUUGAACGCACAUUGCGCCCCUUGGUAUUCCAUGGGGCAUGCCUGUUCGAGCGUCAUUUGUACCCUCAAGCUCUGCUUGGUGUUGGGUGUUUGUCCCGUCUCCGCGCGUGGACUCGCCCCAAAGUGAUUGGCAGCCGGCGUACUGGUUCCGGAGCGCAGCACAUGUCGCGCAAACGAGUGCCUUGGUACGGCGGCGUCCAUAAGCCCCUCUCUCACGCUCUUGACCUCGGAUCAGGUAGGGAUACCCGCUGAACUUAAGC
This 309-nucleotide unclassified non-coding RNA is filed under the name plant metagenome. Its description in RNAcentral is "partial contains 5.8S ribosomal RNA, internal transcribed spacer 2, and large subunit ribosomal RNA". The stretch from base 1 to 105 matches the Rfam family "5.8S ribosomal RNA", at positions 50 to 154 of the family's 154-position model. The record is from RNAcentral.